GAGACUCUGUGCGCGUGCAUAUCAAUAAGCGGAGGAAAAGAAACUAACAAGGAUUCCCUUAGUAACGGCGAGUGAAGCGGGAAGAGCUCAAAUUUGAAAUCUUCAAGGUUCUACCUUGACGAAUUGUAGUUUAUAGAAGUGUUUUCUGUUAGUAGAGUGGCAAAAGUUCUUUGGAAUAGGACAUCAUAGAGGGUGAGAAUCCCGUAUUUGGUCAUUCCUUCCUAGCGUUGUGAUACACUUUCAACGAGUCGGAUUGUUUGGGAAUGCAGUCCAAAAUGGGUGGUAAAUUUCAUCUAAAGCUAAAUAUUGGCGAGAGACCGAUAGCGAACAAGUACCGUGAGGGAAAGAUGAAAAGAACUUUGAAAAGAGAGUUAAACAGUACGUGAAAUUGUCAAAAGGGAAGCGUUUGACACCAGUGUUGUUUUUCUCGAAAAUCAAUUAACGAAUGGUUUGUUUUUGAGAGUUAUGACUUCAUCGGCUUGCUUCUCUCUUUACGAAACUUUCUUAUGCACUUUUCGGUUAACAAGUCAACAUCAAUUUCUUUUGUUGUAAAAGGGUAUGAGGAAGGUGGCUUUCUUUUCGGAGAAAGUGUUUAUAGCCUUGUACCUCUGCAAUCGGAGAGAUUGAGGUCUGCAGCGUAGAUCCUUCGGGGUUAGAUACAUUUGUGCUAAGUUAUAGCUUUUCAUAGACAACUUGUUGACUAUGUUAAGUCUUGUAGCUUACUCGCUUAUGCUAUUUUACCUACGCUUAGGAUGUUGAAGAUGUAGCACAUCAU
RNAcentral lists this ribosomal RNA (775 nucleotides) under uncultured Neocallimastigales. Its description in RNAcentral is "partial large subunit ribosomal RNA". It matches the Rfam family "Eukaryotic large subunit ribosomal RNA", at positions 23 to 635 of the family's 3401-position model. Lineage: Eukaryota; Fungi; Neocallimastigomycota; Neocallimastigomycetes; Neocallimastigales. The record is from RNAcentral.